AUGAUGUAUGGUUCCUUGACUAUUGUAGCAGUUUCAUAUGGAUUUUUGGUCCAUCUGGCUCUGAUCAUAUGGCUUGUUUUAAAUCCACACGCUGUACUUUUUGGUGGCUUGGCUGACAUCCCGUAUAUCCUGUUAUCCUAUCUUUGUAGGCAUAUAAAAGUAGGGAAUUAUUUUGGUUCAAAUCUAGGCUCUGUUUGUUCCUGUUUAGAUGUUUUUCAUUAUUUGAUUGCAUCCUUUGCUAUGUUACUUGCUUGCCAUCAGUAUUGGCUAGAGUUCAUCAUCAUGCACCUUUGUAAUCAUAUAUAG
This 306-nucleotide ribosomal RNA is filed under the name Triticum aestivum (bread wheat). RNAcentral describes it as "partial small subunit ribosomal RNA". Lineage: Eukaryota; Viridiplantae; Streptophyta; Magnoliopsida; Poales; Poaceae. The record is from RNAcentral.